AGCAGCCGCGGUAAUUCCAGCUCCAAUAGCGUAUAUUAAAGUUGUUGCAGUUAAAAAGCUCGUAGUUGAGUUUCGGGAUUGACGUGAUGGUCGUGCCUUAAGGGGUAUGAACUGUUGCUGUUGAUUUCUCACCUUCUGGAGAAACUUGAUGUCCUUAAUUGGGUGUCUUGCGGAUCCAGGACCUUUACCUUGAAAAAAUUUAGAGUGUUUAAAGCAGGCAUUUUGCUCGAAUACAUUAGCAUGGAAUAAUAGAAUAGGACGGCAUGGUUCUAUUUUGUUGGUUUCUAGGAUCACCGUAAUGAUUAAUAGGGAUAGUUGGGGGCAUUAGUAUUCAAUUGUCAGAGGUGAAAUUCUUGGAUUUAUUGAAGACUAACUACUGCGAAAGCAUUUGCCAAGGAUGUUUUCAUUAAUCAAGAACGAAAGUUAGGGGAUCGAAGACGAUCAGAUACCGUCGUAGUCUUAACCAUAAACUAUGCCGACUAGGAAUCAGACGAUGUUAAUUUUUUUAAAUGACUCGUUU
This 520-nucleotide unclassified non-coding RNA is filed under the name uncultured Entrophospora. Its description in RNAcentral is "SSU rRNA". It matches the Rfam family "Eukaryotic small subunit ribosomal RNA", at positions 569 to 1081 of the family's 1831-position model. Lineage: Eukaryota; Fungi; Glomeromycota; Glomeromycetes; Entrophosporales; Entrophosporaceae. The record is from RNAcentral.